GCAACUAUCUAGUAAUGCUUUUCCCCAGGAGCUGACAUUCAAUGUCUGAAGCUGAGAAGGAGAUCAGAAACUAAUUUUUCUUACCAGAACAGCCACGCACCUUGAAAGAAUGGAUUUUUACUAAUUUGUGUGUAUGUGAUUACAAAGUCAGAAAUGGAUGAAGAAGAUAUCUUCUGAUCACCAGUAACAAACCAGUGCUUCAGAGAUGUACUCCUAUGUGCCAGUUAUGCUCCUCAGAAGACCUCCACCCCUCACAAUGUCUUCCCUUAUGUUGGUCCAUUUUGUGAAAAGAUCAAUGAGGGCAUUUUCUGUGCCAGCGAUAGUAUUAUGGAACAGCCUACUGGAAUGGGUGCAGAAGAAAAUGAGAAUUCCAAAACCCCAGAAAGCAAAUCAAAAAUGCAAGAGCAAACUGAAGCAAAGCCCCUGGAAAGUACUGGUCACACAGUAGCAUUUCUACAUCCCAGCCAGAAAUCCCAAGAGGAGGGUCUGCUUUGGAAACACAAAAAUCUGUAAUGGGAACAGGAAACAGCACCAAAACGAAACGAAACAUGGGCAAGCUUUGUGGGUUACUUCCACACAGAGAUUUUGUGCCAGUUUUGCAUCCAAACUGGAGGACGGGUUUUGUUUGUUUGUUUGGAGUAUCCGCAUGGCAUUGUCCCCCACCAUACUUUCUAGAUUUUCCCCUGCUUCGAUGUGAUCUUUCCUAGCCCUGACAUAGCAAUCGUUUUGUAAAUAUGGAAGUCCAUGUGGAUGGAACGGUGUGUGUGGUGUUUUUUUUUGAGGGUCCCACAUGUAGAGAUGUCAUUUUCCUUUUCUCAGAAAACACACAUACCCCAUGACUCCCAUUUCUGUGCCACUAGAGAACUUCUUUCAGGCUUUUGUAAAAAUUGGCAAUUGCUUGAUUAUUACAAUGCAGUAAGAUUUCACUCAUCUAUUGCCACAAUCUACAAUGUUUUCCAAAUGAAACAUAUGCUGCUUUUUCUCUAAUAGAUUACAUUACCAUUCAUUAUAGCAUCAGUUUGCAGUGCCUAUCAGAGUGCAUGGCACAGAAUAAUGUUAAAGGGAUGUCUGUAUCCUGAGGGUAUUGCAAUCCAAAUGAUUUCCAUCCAGCUGAUAAAAUGAACCUGAUGUAACCGUUUCCUAUGUGCUAUAGAGGAUAGUAUCUGCACAUAGUGCAAAAAUUUAUUACACAUGUGCUAGGUUCACAGAAAGCCUGGGAGCACCAGAAUUUGAAAGAUGCUUUUCUAGCUCAUUGAUAUAUGGCUGAUCUAGGUGGGUUUUUUUAUAAUUCCUCCUGAAAACAACUUUUGUUUCCACUUAAUAACCUACCCUGCCAUGUCCACAAGAUGGGACUGAAAACAUAAAAUGGGUUGGGCCCUUGAGAACAGCUGCAUAACAGGAAGUACCCUUAAUGUGACGUCAUCAACAAAGGGGGGGGUCUGUCUUCAUAAAUACAGAUUGUGCAAGGAGUCUAGCUGCAAUCCACAUUAGAUCUUUACAAAAACCCAGCUUUGUCUCCCAUUCUCCUAAUACCAGAUGAAAUAAACUCAGCUCCACUGAAA
This is a long non-coding RNA of Eublepharis macularius, 1562 nucleotides long. RefSeq lists it as uncharacterized. NCBI's taxonomy places the organism in Eukaryota, Metazoa, Chordata, Lepidosauria, Squamata, Eublepharidae. The record is from RefSeq and is a predicted model, not a curated record. The transcript has 3 exons.